CACUGCGCCCACACUGAGCAUGCGCGGACGCCCCUUACACCGGUUUUCCCACCUACUGCUGCUUUUUAGCUAAUCCGUGACCGCUGUUGUUCUGAUGGACAGACCAUUUCCACCAAUAAUUACGAGUCAUGACGGAAUUCUGUUUCCCCCUUUUCCGGUGGGCGGAGACUGAGGCUUCUGGGAGCCCCGGAAGGUGAGGAGGUGAAAGGUGAGGUGGGAGGAGUGGAGGAAAAUGGAGCUUCUGUGGGCGUGGUCGCGCCAGGGGACAGCCAAUGAAGAGGAAGAGCGUCAGGGCGGGGCAGAAGGCGGCGAGCGCUAGGCGGGGACCCGGGAACUCGUGCCAAGUGACUGGUGCUCGCUUCAGGCUCCUGCUACCUUCUGCGGGCGGAACGUGGGUGUCCCGGGAAGGGACGGACCCCAUCUCUACUAUGCCGCAAGCGCGUUGUGUCAACAGUCUGGCUGUGGACGGUCCGAUGAGCGUUACUUGAUUUCGUACUUUCGGCCACCUCCAAUUUUCUCAGAACGCAACAUAAGAAAAAAAAAAAAAAAAACUAACAGCAGUGUGUGCAGGAGAGCUUCGAAGAUAUGGGUGCUGAUGUUUGGUCACUGCUAUGGGGGAGGUCGUAGAGCUGAGAGUUGUCGGAGGACGUUUUCUGUCCUGUCUAGGAUUCUGGAAUUGAACCUGGGUUCCCACGCUUGUGCAGCCGUCUCCCCAGCCCCCGUUAAUACUGUGUCUGAAGUAGCCACUCUACUGAAGUCAGCUCUGCCUUCUACUUGACACGCCUUCCCUUACUCACUUCUCACUUCAUUUUCUUACUGCGUUUGCCUCCAUUCAGUGUUGAUAUUUUAAAAUUGAAAUCUGUUAUUAUUUUGUCAUGUAGCCCAGGCUGGCCAAGAUCUUGCCUCCCUUUAAGCUUAUUUUAGGAAAAUUAUGCUUACUUGUAGGGUGCUUGUGACAGUGUCACCCAUACACACACUGUAUGACAUUAGAUUAUGCUAAGCCUGCCAUCUCUAUAAAUUCUUAGUUGUGAAACUCAAAGCCUCUCCUUUAAGAUUUUUUGGGGGGCACUAUAGUUGUAAGGGAGGUUAGCCCCCUCAGAAGCAGUACAGGACACCCAGACACCAAAUUCUUAGCACAAAGGAGAUUUAUUACUCUGGGGGUGGGGUGAGGUGGGGGCGGCAAAAGCAGACUGAAGCAGCAGCACACCUGAGCAGGCAUUUCCACAGGAGUGGGGUUUGAGGAGGGAGAGGGGGAGUAAGUGCUAGGGUGAGUUGGUAAAUCCUGACUGGACGCAUUAGCCAAGUAAUGAGUUUUGAUUAUUGGACCUUGGUGUUUUGUCUCAGGAAUGAGUUAGUGGGGCCAAAUAAGGGAAUGGGCCUUGGGAGCUAGCUUUAGGAAUGUCAUCUAACAAUUUUUAAUAAGGGAGAGAAGGGUCAAAGACAAAACCAGUGGGCAGCACGCUUGCCAUGCCGGGGCCUGGCAGAGCCCUUCAGCAGUGUGUUGUUAGUUAGUCACCUUGUGGGCUGACAGUUGUUCCACAUGCUGACUCAGUGCCCAUCCAUCUCUCCCAGCCUCCUCCACACUCAGUUCAUAUUGAAGGGGAGCUGUGCUGGUGUCCACCCUGCCUUGUCUCUAACUUCAGUGAGGUUGCUUUGAAAGCUUACUAGCACAGCCCUUGCUGUGAGCUCCCAGCAUUAAAGGGCACUCGGUUCACACAUGUCCAAGAAACUUCUGUCACAGCAGUGGCCUUUCUUUAAGCCGGCCAUCCUCUCCUGGG
RNAcentral lists this long non-coding RNA (1778 nucleotides) under Mus spicilegus (steppe mouse). Its description in RNAcentral is "lncRNA (ENSMSIG00000025779.1)". The record is from RNAcentral. Lineage: Eukaryota; Metazoa; Chordata; Mammalia; Rodentia; Muridae.